This 63-nucleotide microRNA precursor is filed under the name Mus caroli (Ryukyu mouse). RNAcentral's name for it is "miRNA (MGP_CAROLIEiJ_G0008115.1)". It matches the Rfam family "mir-344 microRNA precursor family". The record is from RNAcentral. Lineage: Eukaryota; Metazoa; Chordata; Mammalia; Rodentia; Muridae.
GAUUUGAUCAGUCAGGCUGCUGGCUAUAUUCCAGGUCUAUCUGGUAUAGCCAAGCCUGACUGU